AAUAGAUACCCGGGUAGUCCACGCCGUAAACGAUGAGUGCUAAGUGUUAGGGGGGUUUCCGCCCCUUAGUGCUGCAGCUAACGCAUUAAGCACUCCGCCUGGGGAGUACGGUCGCAAGACUGAAACUCAAAGGAAUUGACGGGGGCCCGCACAAGCGGUGGAGCAUGUGGUUUAAUUCGAAGCAACGCGAAGAACCUUACCAGGUCUUGACAUCCCAUUGACCACUAUGGAGACAUAGUUUUCCCUUCGGGGACAACGGUGACAGGUGGUGCAUGGUUGUCGUCAGCUCGUGUCGUGAGAUGUUGGGUUAAGUCCCGCAACGAGCGCAACCCUUGUUCUUAGUUGCCAUCAUUUAGUUGGGCACUCUAAGGAGACUGCCGGUGACAAACCGGAGGAAGGUGGGGAUGACGUCAAAUCAUCAUGCCCCUUAUGACCUGGGCUACACACGUGCUACAAUGGACGGUACAAACGGUUGCCAACCCGCAAGGGGGAGCUAAUCCGAUAAAACCGUUCUCAGUUCGGAUUGUAGGCUGCAACUCGCCUACAUGAAGCC
This 553-nucleotide ribosomal RNA is filed under the name uncultured bacterium. Its description in RNAcentral is "bacterial SSU rRNA". It matches the Rfam family "Bacterial small subunit ribosomal RNA", at positions 777 to 1327 of the family's 1533-position model. The record is from RNAcentral.